This 253-nucleotide ribosomal RNA is filed under the name uncultured bacterium. Its description in RNAcentral is "partial 16S ribosomal RNA". It matches the Rfam family "Bacterial small subunit ribosomal RNA", at positions 524 to 776 of the family's 1533-position model. The record is from RNAcentral.
UACGUAGGGCGCAAGCGUUGUCCGGAAUUAUUGGGCGUAAAGAGCUCGUAGGCGGUUUGUCGCGUCUGCUGUGAAAACCUGAGGCUCAACCUCGGGCUUGCAGUGGGUACGGGCAGACUAGAGUGCGGUAGGGGUGACUGGAAUUCCUGGUGUAGCGGUGGAAUGCGCAGAUAUCAGGAGGAACACCGAUGGCGAAGGCAGGUCACUGGGCCGCAACUGACGCUGAGGAGCGAAAGCAUGGGGAGCGAAUGGG